GUUUUGGGGCGACAGCAACCUCCGCACAAAAUUUUGGGGGAGGUCAAUUCAGCUUGAUCCUGUUGGAGUUCUGGCCCUGGAGUUUGAUGAUGGUGAAAUAUUCCAAUGGAGCAAGGUGACAACAACAAUUUACAAUCUUAUCCUUGGUAAAGUGUACUGUGAUCACCAUGGAAUGAUGCAUAUACAUGGAAAUCGACAAUAUUCAUGCAAACUCAAGUUCAAAGAACAAUCGAUCCUUGACAGGAAUCCUCACCAGGUUAAUGGGUUUGUUGAAGAUGUUUCGGGUAAAAAAGUUGCUUCAUUAUUUGGGAAGUGGGAUGACAGCAUGUAUUAUACCGAAGGUGAUGGGUCUAGCAAGACAAAAGAUUGCAAUUCCUCAUCUAAUGCCACCUUACUUUGGAAAAGUAC
Molecule: unclassified non-coding RNA, 408 nt
Filed under: Hevea brasiliensis (rubber tree)
Lineage: Eukaryota; Viridiplantae; Streptophyta; Magnoliopsida; Malpighiales; Euphorbiaceae
Source: RNAcentral